This 27-nucleotide non-coding RNA is filed under the name Homo sapiens (human). Lineage: Eukaryota; Metazoa; Chordata; Mammalia; Primates; Hominidae. The record is from RNAcentral.
UGAUAAGAGAUCAGAUGCUGGUGUCCA